RNAcentral lists this ribosomal RNA (119 nucleotides) under Pteropus alecto (black flying fox). Lineage: Eukaryota; Metazoa; Chordata; Mammalia; Chiroptera; Pteropodidae. The record is from RNAcentral.
GUCUACGGCCAUGCCACCCUGAACAAACCCAAUCCCAUCUGAUCUCGGAAGCUAAGCAGGGUCGGGCUUGAUUAGUACUUGGAUGGAAGACCACCUAGGAAGACCAGGUGCUGUAGGCG